GGCCUGGUGGUGUAAUGGUAACAUGUCUGUCUUAUUGUGGAGGCUCCGCAGUAAAACAUAUAAGAGGAUUUACCCCGUUCGAUUCGGGGCCAGGCCA
Non-coding RNA from Mycena galericulata, 97 nucleotides. The record is from the annotation of a GenBank genome assembly. NCBI's taxonomy places the organism in Eukaryota, Fungi, Basidiomycota, Agaricomycetes, Agaricales, Mycenaceae.